This 309-nucleotide long non-coding RNA is filed under the name Physcomitrium patens. RNAcentral describes it as "long non-coding RNA (PPAT_LNC000892)". The record is from RNAcentral. Lineage: Eukaryota; Viridiplantae; Streptophyta; Bryopsida; Funariales; Funariaceae.
GAUUAGGAUUUGAUUUAGGAUUUAGGAUUUGGUCAAGGUUUGAUUUAGUGUUUGAUUUAGGAUUUGGUUGGAGUUUGGUUUAAGAUUUAUUUAGGAUUUGAUUUAGGGUUUAGGAUUUUAUUAGGAUUUAAGAUUUAAUUAGGUUUGCCUAAAGUUUUAAUGAAGUUGAAUAGGAUUUUAACUAGAAUUAAGAUUUUGUUAUUGCAAUUUCCAUUCUUCCUUCCACAGCCAGGUGCUCGGAGCAUUCUCAAGCAAGUCUUCACGUAUUACAACAACGGUUUGAUUUUGAUCUUAGUUCAUAAGUAGCCC